RNAcentral lists this ribosomal RNA (603 nucleotides) under uncultured fungus. RNAcentral describes it as "eukaryotic LSU rRNA". It matches the Rfam family "Eukaryotic large subunit ribosomal RNA", at positions 23 to 641 of the family's 3401-position model. The record is from RNAcentral. Lineage: Eukaryota; Fungi.
ACCCGCUGAACUUAAGCAUAUCAAUAAGCGGAGGAAAAGAAACCAACAGGGAUUGCCCUAGUAACGGCGAGUGAAGCGGCAACAGCUCAAAUUUGAAAUCUGGCUCUUUUAGAGUCCGAGUUGUAAUUUGCAGAGGGCGCUUUGGCUUUGGCAGCGGUCCAAGUUCCUUGGAACAGGACGUCACAGAGGGUGAGAAUCCCGUACGUGGUCGCUGGCUAUUGCCGUGUAAAGCCCCUUCGACGAGUCGAGUUGUUUGGGAAUGCAGCUCUAAAUGGGAGGUACAUUUCUUCUAAAGCUAAAUAUUGGCCAGAGACCGAUAGCGCACAAGUAGAGUGAUCGAAAGAUGAAAAGCACUUUGAAAAGAGAGUCAAACAGCACGUGAAAUUGUUGAAAGGGAAGCGCUUGCAGCCAGACUUGCUUACAGUUGCUCAUCCGGGCUUUUGCCCGGUGCACUCUUCUGUAGGCAGGCCAGCAUCAGUUUGGGCGGUAGGAUAAAGGUCUCUGUCACGUACCUCUCUUCGGGGAGGCCUUAUAGGGGAGACGACAUACUACCAGCCUGGACUGAGGUCCGCGCAUCUGCUAGGAUGCUGGCGUAAUGGCUGU